This 518-nucleotide ribosomal RNA is filed under the name uncultured bacterium. Its description in RNAcentral is "bacterial SSU rRNA". It matches the Rfam family "Bacterial small subunit ribosomal RNA", at positions 8 to 518 of the family's 1533-position model. The record is from RNAcentral.
AGAGUUUGAUCCUGGCUUAGGAUGAACGCUAGCUACAGGCUUAACACAUGCAAGUCGAGGGGCAGCAUUGGAGUAGCAAUACUUCAGAUGGCGACCGGCGCACGGGUGAGUAACACGUAUCCAACCUGCCGCUUACUCGGGGAUAGCCUUUCGAAAGAAAGAUUAAUACCCGAUGGUAUAAAGAGUUCGCAUGUUCUCUUUAUUAAAGAAUUUCGGUAAGCGAUGGGGAUGCGUUCCAUUAGAUAGUUGGCGGGUAACGGCCCACCAAGUCUACGAUGGAUAGGGGUUCUGAGAGGAAGGUCCCCCACAUUGGAACUGAGACACGGUCCAAACUCCUACGGGAGGCAGCAGUGAGGAAUAUUGGUCAAUGGACGAGAGUCUGAACCAGCCAAGUUAGCGUGAAGGAUGACUGCCCUAUGGGUUGUAAACUUCUUUUAUAAGGGAAUAAAGUGAGGGACGUGUCCCUUUUUGUAUGUACCUUAUGAAUAAGGAUCGGCUAACUCCGUGCCAGCCGCAGC